RNAcentral lists this ribosomal RNA (497 nucleotides) under uncultured bacterium. RNAcentral describes it as "partial 16S ribosomal RNA". It matches the Rfam family "Bacterial small subunit ribosomal RNA", at positions 28 to 507 of the family's 1533-position model. The record is from RNAcentral.
GAUGAACGCUGGCGGCGUGCCUAAUACAUGCAAGUCGAGCGAACGGACGAGAAGCUUGCUUCUCUGAUGUUAGCGGCGGACGGGUGAGUAACACGUGGAUAACCUACCUAUAAGACUGGGAUAACUUCGGGAAACCGGCGCUAAUACCGGAUAAUAUUUUGAACCGCAUGGUUCAAAAGUGAAAGACGGUGUUGCUGUCACUUAUAGAUGCAUCCGCGCUGCAUUGGCUAGUUGGUAAGGUAACGGCUUACCAAGGCAACGAUGCAUAGCCGAAGUGAGAGAGUGAUCGGCGACAUGGGAACUGAGACACGGUCCAGACGACUACGGGAGGCAGCAGUAGGGAAUCGUCCGCAGUGGGCGAAAGCCUGACGGAGCAACGCCGCGUGAGUGAUGGAGGUCUUCGGAUCGUAAAACUCUGUUAUUAGGGAAGAACAUAUGUGUAAGUAACUGUGGAGAUCUUGACGGUACCUAAUCAGAAAGCAACGGCUAACUACGUG